GGAAGUAAAAAGUCGUAACAAGGUCUCCGUAGGUGAACCUGCGGAGGGAUCAUUACUGAAUGGCCCUUGGGCCUUCAACCCAUCAAACAUGUGGACCUUGAAAAUUGUGCUUCGGCGCUGCUCAGGCGGCGUCGCUUUUAUGCGGAAAGCUGGAUUUUGUCUGAUCUAUCAAAAAGAUUAAAAACUUUCAACAAAGGAUCUCUUGGCUCUC
Molecule: unclassified non-coding RNA, 211 nt
Filed under: plant metagenome
Description: partial contains small subunit ribosomal RNA and internal transcribed spacer 1
Rfam family: Eukaryotic small subunit ribosomal RNA (bases 1-55)
Source: RNAcentral